RNAcentral lists this ribosomal RNA (253 nucleotides) under uncultured bacterium. RNAcentral's name for it is "partial 16S ribosomal RNA". It matches the Rfam family "Bacterial small subunit ribosomal RNA", at positions 524 to 776 of the family's 1533-position model. The record is from RNAcentral.
GACGUAGGGCGCGAGCGUUGUCCGGAUUUAUUGGGCGUAAAGAGCUCGUAGGCGGCUUGUCGCGUCGUUCGUGAAAACUUGGGGCUCAACCCCAAGCUUGCGGUCGAUACGGGCAGGCUAGAGUUCGGUAGGGGAGACUGGAAUUCCUGGUGUAGCGGUGAAAUGCGCAGAUAUCAGGAGGAACACCCGUAGCGAAGGCGGCACUCUGGGCCGAUACUGACACUGAGGAGCGAAAGCGUGGGGAGCGAACAGG